RNAcentral lists this ribosomal RNA (469 nucleotides) under uncultured Herminiimonas sp. Its description in RNAcentral is "bacterial SSU rRNA". It matches the Rfam family "Bacterial small subunit ribosomal RNA", at positions 910 to 1382 of the family's 1533-position model. Lineage: Bacteria; Pseudomonadati; Pseudomonadota; Betaproteobacteria; Burkholderiales; Oxalobacteraceae. The record is from RNAcentral.
UUCGACGGGACCCCGCACAAGCGGUGGAUGAUGUGGAUUAAUUCGAUGCAACGCGAAAAACCUUACCUACCCUUGACAUGUACGGAACCUUUAAGAGAUUAGAGGGUGCUCGAAAGAGAGCCGUAACACAGGUGCUGCAUGGCUGUCGUCAGCUCGUGUCGUGAGAUGUUGGGUUAAGUCCCGCAACGAGCGCAACCCUUGUCAUUAGUUGCUACGAAAGGGCACUCUAAUGAGACUGCCGGUGACAAACCGGAGGAAGGUGGGGAUGACGUCAAGUCCUCAUGGCCCUUAUGGGUAGGGCUUCACACGUCAUACAAUGGUACAUACAGAGGGCUGCCAACCCGCGAGGGGGAGCUAAUCCCAGAAAGUGUAUCGUAGUCCGGAUUGAAGUCUGCAACUCGACUUCAUGAAGUUGGAAUCGCUAGUAAUCGCGGAUCAGCAUGUCGCGGUGAAUACGUUCCCGGGUCUU